UAGAAGGUACUGAUAGAGUUAAGUGCAAACUUUGUAACGAAACUUUUAAACAUUUGACUGGAGGAUAUUUUGAAAUAAUAGAAGGUACUGAUAGAGUUAAGUGCAAACUUUGUAGUGAAAUUUUAAACAUUUGACCGGCGGAAAUUUAGGGGGGACUGUGACACGUAGUAGACAUAUGAGAUCUUACUAUCCUACAGAAUGGGGCAAUAAUGGGGAUGGAAGUCAAAGAACUAUUAGCCCUACUACUGGAGGUUCAGUAAAAUAUGAUAAAAUGAGGGAUCGUGAGGAAUUAGCAAAAAAUGCUUUGGGUUGUCUAUU
This 318-nucleotide long non-coding RNA is filed under the name Nicotiana benthamiana. RNAcentral describes it as "long non-coding RNA (NBEN_LNC032940)". The record is from RNAcentral. Lineage: Eukaryota; Viridiplantae; Streptophyta; Magnoliopsida; Solanales; Solanaceae.